GUCGAGAAUCUUUCACAAUGGGGGCAACCCUGAUGGAGCGACGCCGCGUGGAGGAUAAGGUCUUCGGAUUGUAAACUCCUGUCAUGCGUGAACAAGGUUGCUUGGUUAAUACCUGGGCAAAUUGAUGGUAACGCAAGAGGAAGAGACGGCUAACUCUGUGCCAGCAGCCGCGGUAAUACAGAGGUCUCAAGCGUUGUUCGGAAUCACUGGGCGUACAGGGUGCGUAGGUGGCGUGGUAAGUCAGAUGUGAAAGCCCGGGGAUCAACCUAGGAACUGCAUGCGAUACUACCAUGCUAGAGUACUGGAGAGGUGACUAGAAUUCUCGGUGUAGCAGUGAAAUGCGUAGAUAUCGAGAGGAAUACCAAAGGCGUAGGCAGGUCACUGGACAGUUACUGACACUGAGGCACGAAGGCCAGGGGAUCGAACAGGAUUAGAUACCCUUGUAGUCC
Molecule: ribosomal RNA, 449 nt
Filed under: uncultured bacterium
Lineage: Bacteria
Description: partial 16S ribosomal RNA
Rfam family: Bacterial small subunit ribosomal RNA
Source: RNAcentral